This 2373-nucleotide long non-coding RNA is filed under the name Homo sapiens (human). RNAcentral describes it as "non-protein coding lnc-GRPEL1-6:1". The record is from RNAcentral. Lineage: Eukaryota; Metazoa; Chordata; Mammalia; Primates; Hominidae.
UCAUUGGCACAGCAGACUCCUGCUGUGACCCCUGCUAAAAUAAGCAUGAAAGCCAAGCUAGAUACCAGAUAGAGCUGAAUACGGGUGUAAGGUGAGUGUGAACAGAUCUGGUUUCUGAAGGGGCCGUCCUGUGGUACAUCAGCCCCGCCCUGCCGGGUUCCAAGCAGCUUCUCCUCGCAGCUCUCAGAAACAUCAGUGUGGCCAGAGCUCAGCAUGUAGGGCAGAUUCCCCAGGCCUCAUGCCAAGACGUAAAUCUUGGCAACCCCGGUUUUCCCACUGUCCUUUAGCUGCUCAGGACAGCAUGAUGCUGCUUCUGGACACACAUGUUUAUUUGGCAAAAGCAAAUAUUCACCAGGGGCCUUUCUCGACAGGAGAAAAAAUGGCAGAAGCAUCCUCGGUUCAGCCGGUGUGGUGCCCUUGUCUUUCUUCUCCUCUCCAUGGGUCUGCUCCUGAGCCCCGCUGUCCUCCAUGUGUUUAGCUAAUCUCAAGGCUUCUUGGGAUUCAUCUUUUGUCUUCAUUUGCUCAAGGGCAGAGUAGUCCCUGCCAAAGACUGACUCUUCCAACAGACAGCCUCCUCCUUCCCCGAGUUUCACCCCAGUGAGAAUCCCAGCCCUAACCUGGCUGGGCACCUGCCCAGGGCACCCCGGGUCCUCUGUGGUGGAAGCUGAAUUUUCAUGCUUAGUUCAGCUUAGCUGGAAACCCCAAGCAGACCAGAGCACGAGCAGGCAGCACGGCUGGGAGGCGUUUACUCUCACACCGCUUUUAACAAAUGUGUGCUCCCAAUGUGUGCUGGGCUUUCCCAGCAAGACUUCACCUGACUAGUUGACAUGAAGCCCGGGGACCCCAGUGAGUGUAGAGAGCCAGGCCCAUGUGAAACAGCAGCGGGGAAGGUCCCUAGACCCAGACACCAAGUCCCCCCGAGGCCAACCAGGACCUCCCCCAACAGAUGUCGGAUGUGUUUCUAUGAGGCUCUGACCCACCCAGAAAAGCCACCUCCCAUGCCAAGUCAGGAAUCAUGACCUAAUUCUGUGUCUAAUCUCUUUCCAAAAGGACGCCAGUCCUAUUGGAUCAGGUUCCACCCUAAAGACUUCAUUCUACGUUAAUGACCUAUUUUUUUAUUUUAAUUUUUAUUUUCUUUGAGACAAAGUCUCACUCUGUCACCCAGGCUGGAACAUAGUGGUGUCAUCUCGGCUCACCACAACCUCUACCUCCCAGGUUCAAGCAAUCCUCCUGACUCAGCCUCAGGAGUAGCUGGGAUUACAGGUGCGCACCACCACACCGGGCUAAUUUUUGUAUUUUUAGUGGAGACAGGGUUUUACCAUGUUGGCCAGGCUGGUCUCGAACUCCUGACCUCAAGUGAUCCACCCGCCUCGGCCUCCCAAAGUGCUGGGAUUACAGGCGUGAGCCACCACGCCUGGCCUAGACUUAAUGACCUCUUUAAAGGCCCCGCCUCCAAAUACAGUCUCAUUCUGAGGUCCUGGGGGUUAGGGCUUCAAUACCGAAAUUUGUGGGGGACACAAGUCAGUCCACAGCACUGAGCAUCUCCGUUCACUUAGUAGAGUGAGAACCCCCCAGGUAUUUCUGGGGGUUCCUUUGACGGAAGCUGUGAAGCUCAGAACAUUCUCCCUGUGACAGAGUCCGUCCAGGUCCACUGUUGCCUUCUCCCCUCCCCUUUCCAGGCUGAGACGGGCAGCACCUCCCAGCCCUCCUUGCGGCCAGGUAGGGCUGUGGGCCUGGGUCUACCCCCCACAGUGUGGGAAGAUGUGAGGUGCACCAAUCUGGGACCCAGCCAGAGCAUCCCAGGGGUCAUCCCCGCUCCCCGGUCCACCUCCAUUCCCCAUGGAAGCUGUGAGGGAGGGUGCCCCACUCCAGGGUCACUGCUUGGAGAGAGUUGCCAGGAGGGCCAGUGCCAGGAGCUCCCACGCCGGGCUCCUCGUUGCCGGGCCCUGAGCUCUCGGGUUAUUUGUUACCGCAGCACAUCCUUGUGUCCCUCACAUUCCCAUGGGCCAGACAACGCUCGUCACCCCUCGGCAAUGCCAGCAGCAGCCAUUCACCGACUCACACAGUCCCCUCUCAUGCUCCAAACAAAUGUCUCCUGGGUACUGGCACGCCAGGCUCUGCAGCUGAGUCCCGGGGUGGAGAGGGGCACCAACCAGGAACUUGGGAUGAGGGAAGCCCCCGAGUGCCCUGGUUAAGCAUAAAGUCGGGAUGCCCAGCUAAACUUGAGUUUCAGAUAAGCACAAAUAAUUUUUCAGUGUAAGUAUAUCCCAAAUGUUGCAUGGAUUCUCUCCACGUGGACAUGGUGGGUACAUCGGCUCAUGCUCCUGCUGACAGCCAUCAGUGUCCAUUAGAAGGGAGCCCCGGGGCUGCAGA